RNAcentral lists this signal recognition particle RNA (267 nucleotides) under SAR202 cluster bacterium. RNAcentral's name for it is "signal recognition particle sRNA large type". It matches the Rfam family "Bacterial large signal recognition particle RNA". Rfam says of the family: The signal recognition particle (SRP) is a universally conserved ribonucleoprotein involved in the co-translational targeting of proteins to membranes. Archaeal SRP consists of a 7S RNA and homologues of the eukaryotic SRP19 and SRP54 proteins. In most bacteria, the SRP consists of a 4.5S RNA and the Ffh protein (a homologue of the eukaryotic SRP54 protein). Lineage: Bacteria; Bacillati; Chloroflexota; Dehalococcoidia. The record is from RNAcentral.
UCGUGCUAGGUGGGGCGUUAGCGGUGCCCUGUACUCGCAAUCCGCUAUAGCGAGGCUGAAACCCCCUGUCGAGGCAGUUCGUGUAUGACCGCUGAAGGCAGUAUUUAGACGUUGACAGCUUGGUCCCGCGCGGCGAGGCCUCGUGAACCCCGUCAGGACCGGAAGGUAGCAGCGGUAAGCGAUUCACCUUGGGUGCCGCGGGAACGCCGGGCUGGAGUCGGUCCUGCCAUUUACGUCAUAUGAGUCUGUCGACACUGGGGUGCACGG